GCGUCCGUAGCUCAAUUGGAUAGAGCAUCAGAUUUCGGCUCUGAGGGUUGAGGGUUCGAGUCCUUCCGGGCGUACAA
RNAcentral lists this transfer RNA (77 nucleotides) under Ignavibacteriota bacterium. RNAcentral describes it as "Ignavibacteriae bacterium tRNA-Arg". It matches the Rfam family "tRNA". Rfam says of the family: Transfer RNA (tRNA) molecules are approximately 80 nucleotides in length. Their secondary structure includes four short double-helical elements and three loops (D, anti-codon, and T loops). The record is from RNAcentral. Lineage: Bacteria; Pseudomonadati; Ignavibacteriota.